GACGAACCGUGCGAGCGUUGUCCGGAAUCACUGGGCGUAAAGGGCGCGUAGGCGGCCGUGUAAGUCACUUGUGAAAUCCCGGGGCUCAACUCCGGGGCUGCAGGUGAGACUGCAUGGCUAGAGCUUGGUAGAGGCGAGUGGAAUUCCCGGUGUAGCGGUGGAAUGCGUAGAUAUCGGGAAGAACACCGGUGGCGAAGGCGGCUCGCUGGGCCAAUGCUGACGCUGAGGCGCGAAAGCGUGGGGAGCAAACAGG
Molecule: ribosomal RNA, 253 nt
Filed under: uncultured bacterium
Lineage: Bacteria
Description: partial 16S ribosomal RNA
Rfam family: Bacterial small subunit ribosomal RNA
Source: RNAcentral